Molecule: ribosomal RNA, 494 nt
Filed under: uncultured bacterium
Lineage: Bacteria
Description: partial 16S ribosomal RNA
Rfam family: Bacterial small subunit ribosomal RNA
Source: RNAcentral
AUUGAACGCUGGCGGAAUGCUUUACACAUGCAAGUCGAACGGUAGAGGGGCAACCCUUGAGAGUGGCGAACGGGUGAGUAAUGUAUCGGAACAUGCCCAGUCGUGGGGGAUAACGUAGCGAAAGUUACGCUAGUACCGCAUACGAUCUAUGGAUGAAAGCGGGGGAUCGCAAGACCUCGCGCGAGUGGAGUGGCCGAUAUCAGAUUAGGUAGUUGGUGGGGUAAAGGCCUACCAAGCCGACGAUCUGUAGCUGGUCUGAGAGGACGACCAGCCACACUGGGACUGAGACACGGCCCAGACUCCUACGGGAGGCAGCAGUGGGGAAUUUUGGACAAUGGGCGAAAGCCUGAUCCAGCCAUUCCGCGUGCAGGAAGAAGGCCUUCGGGUUGUAAACUGCUUUUGUACGGAACGAAACACGCUGUGCUAAUACCACGGCGUAAUGACGGUACCGUAAGAAUAAGCACCGGCUAACUACGUGCCAGCAGCCGCCGUAA